This 73-nucleotide transfer RNA is filed under the name Acidimicrobiaceae bacterium. RNAcentral describes it as "tRNA-Thr". It matches the Rfam family "tRNA". Rfam says of the family: Transfer RNA (tRNA) molecules are approximately 80 nucleotides in length. The record is from RNAcentral. Lineage: Bacteria; Bacillati; Actinomycetota; Acidimicrobiia; Acidimicrobiales; Acidimicrobiaceae.
GCCCGAGUAGCUCAGUCGGUAGAGCAACGCUCUCGUAAAGCGUAGGUCAGGAGUUCAAAUCUCCUCUCGGGCU